This 497-nucleotide ribosomal RNA is filed under the name uncultured bacterium. RNAcentral's name for it is "partial 16S ribosomal RNA". It matches the Rfam family "Bacterial small subunit ribosomal RNA", at positions 28 to 507 of the family's 1533-position model. The record is from RNAcentral.
GAUGAACGCUGGCGGCGUGCCUAAUACAUGCAAGUCGAGCGAACAGACGAGGAGCUUGCUCCUCUGACGUUAGCGGCGGACGGGUGAGUAACACGUGGAUAACCUACCUAUAAGACUGGGAUAACUUCGGGAAACCGGAGCUAAUACCGGAUAAUAUAUUGAACCGCAUGGUUCAAUAGUGAAAGACGGUUUUGCUGUCACUUAUAGAUGGAUCCGCGCCGCAUUAGCUAGUUGGUAAGGUAACGGCUUACCAAGGCGACGAUGCGUAGCCGAACUGAGAGGGUGAUCGGCCACACUGGAACUGAGACACGGUCCAGACUCCUAAGGGAGGCAGCAGUAGGGAAUCUUCCGCAAUGGGCGAAAGCCUGACGGAGCAACGCCGCGUGAGUGAUGAAGGUCUUCGGAUCGUAAAACUCUGUUAUUAGGGAAGAACAAAUGUGUAAGUAACUAUGCACGUCUUGACGGUACCUAAUCAGAAAGCAACGGCUAACUACGUG